Molecule: RNA transcript, 1494 nt
Organism: Capsicum annuum
Lineage: Eukaryota; Viridiplantae; Streptophyta; Magnoliopsida; Solanales; Solanaceae
Gene name: pleiotropic drug resistance protein 2
Exons: 6
Source: RefSeq, a predicted model, not a curated record
UACAGCUUUUCUUUUUCCUCGGAAUAAACCCUUCACCCUCUACACAACAAAAACUUCACUCAGCACAACAAACCCUUCACUAUGUUUUGAGAAGAACUCAAAAAAUGGCGGUUAGCCGAGUUUUUCUCAAUUAAGUCCUACGCCCAUCUCAAAUUCUGUUGUUCUUCUUAACAUCUUGAGGGUUGGGAUUGAUAUUCUGAAAAUUUAAGCUCGAUUCGAGCAUCUUUCGAUUGAAGGAGAUGCAUAUGUUGGAUCUGGGGCACUACCUACACAGUGGAAUGCAACUAUCAACUUUGUACUUAAGUUCUAUGUUGUUUAAUUUCGCUACGCGAAGUGAGGUACUUGUUCUUAUCGAACUCUUUCUUUUUUGUAUGUUUAAAUGUCAUAGGGAGCUCUUGAAAAAAUCAAGAUUGUCCCAUCGAAGAAAAGGGUCAUCAAGAUACUUCGUGAUGUAAGUGGAAUAGUAAAACCAUCAAGGAUGUCACUACUUCUUGGGCCUCCAGGAGGUGGAAAACUACAUUGCUAAAGGCGCUUGCUGCAGUGCCUGACAAAGAUCUAAGAGUUGCUGGAAAAAUCAGUUAUUGUGGUCAUGAACUGUCAGAGUUUAUUCCUCAACGGACAUGUGCUUAUAUUAGUCAGCAUGAUCUUCAUCAUGGAGAGAUGACAGUCAGAGAGACGUUGGAUUUUGCUGGACGUAGUGUAGGAGUUCGAACGAGAUAUGAGCUCCUCGCAGAACUGUCAAGGCGCGAAAAGGAAUUGGGAAUCAAACCAGAUCCCGAGAUAGAUGUACUUAUGAAAGCUACCGCAGUUGCAGGCCAAGAAUCAAGUCUAGUCACCGGCUAUGUUCUUAAGAUUUUUGGGCUGGAUACCUGUGCGGAUAUAAUGAUAGGUGAUCAGAUGAGAAGAGGAUAAAAUGGAGGCCGUCAUAGCUACUGCAAGAUCAUCAGAUGAUUCUCCAGAAGAUCAAGAACUCGAUAUAAAUCGCAUAUACUUUGAUGUUCCGGUGGGAGCGAAAAAACGACGUGUGUAUGGAUUGGGCUCUCAAGCUUCAACCUCAAAUAAAGAUAUGACGUGCAAUUUUCCUGUAGUGUCCGAUCAUGUUGCCAAAGAGCGCAUCAAAAUACUUGAGAAAGAGAUGUUGUAUAUGAGAGAAAAUCAAGAGAGAGUUCUUCAAGAGCGUGUAGAGUUGGAGGUGCAGCAACGAGUAGAGCAAGAGAUUUCCCGUUUGAGGCAACAAAGUGAUGAUCAAUUCAAAUCUAUGGAGGAGCAAUGGUCUCGCAUGAUGAGCGAUAUGGCAUUAUCUUCUCGCUCAUUUUGUAAUCCUGCUCUCCCUAAUAGGGGCUCAUCUAAUACUUAAGUGUUUAAUAUUUUGAGAACUUUAGUUCUUGAAGUGUCGACUUGAACAUUGUCACACUUUUUUGGAUAGUUAUAUGCUUUAAAUGUUAAACAUUGGUAGACUUUUGCUUAUUGAAGUUGUGAUUUUGCAUGUUUUAA